UUGGUCAGAUGAAAUGAAGUGAAUAUGGGUGUCGAUUGCACCUGCAGUUACUAUUGUAUUUUCGCCAGAAAUAAUUUCUGUGCUUGCACCGAUAACAAGACCUGGAUCAACAUUAUCGUUCAUAUCAGGGUUACCUGACUUUCCGAUUCCUGUAAUAAUACCAUCUCUAAUUCCGAUGUCUGCUUUAUAUAUUCCAGUAUAGUCUAAAAUAAUUGCGUUUGUGAUAACAGUAUCACAAGUACCUGAAGCAUAACUUGCAGUUGACGAUUGAUUCAUACCGUCUC
Molecule: small RNA, 284 nt
Filed under: uncultured Ezakiella sp.
Lineage: Bacteria; Bacillati; Bacillota; Tissierellia
Description: 5' ureB small RNA
Rfam family: 5' ureB small RNA
Source: RNAcentral